This 253-nucleotide ribosomal RNA is filed under the name uncultured bacterium. RNAcentral's name for it is "partial 16S ribosomal RNA". It matches the Rfam family "Bacterial small subunit ribosomal RNA", at positions 524 to 776 of the family's 1533-position model. The record is from RNAcentral.
GACGUAGGGCGCGAGCGUUGUCCGGAUUUAUUGGGCGUAAAGAGCUCGUAGGCGGCUUGUCGCGUCGACUGUGAAAUCCCGCGGCUCAACUGCGGGUCUGCAGUCGAUACGGGCAGGCUAGAGUUCGGUAGGGGAGACUGGAAUUCCUGGUGUAGCGGUGAAAUGCGUAGAUAUCAAGAGGAACACCUGAGGUGAAGACGGGUUGCUGGGCCGACACUGACGCUGAUGCGCGAAAGCCAGGGGAGCAAACGGG